AGUGAACGCUGGCGGUAGGCCUAACACAUGCAAGUCGAACGGCAGCACAGUAAGAGCUUGCUCUUACGGGUGGCGAGUGGCGGACGGGUGAGGAAUACAUCGGAAUCUACUUUUUCGUGGGGGAUAACGUAGGGAAACUUACGCUAAUACCGCAUACGACCUACGGGUGAAAGCAGGGGAUCUUCGGACCUUGCGCGAUUGAAUGAGCCGAUGUCGGAUUAGCUAGUUGGCGGGGUAAAGGCCCACCAAGGGGGCGAUCCGUAGCUGGUCUGAGAGGAUGGUAGGCGGCACGGGAAGUGGAACAGGCACAAGGGGCCUACGGGAGGCAGCAGAGUGGAAUGGGGGACAAUAGGGGCAAGCAUGACACAGCCAGAGCGCGUGGGAGAAGAAGACCCUGCGUGUGUAAAGCCCGUUUGUUGGUUAUAAAAAGCAGCAGCUUGAGACCCCGCGGUAGUGACGGUACCGAAAGAAGAAGCACCGGCUAACUACGUG
This 492-nucleotide ribosomal RNA is filed under the name uncultured bacterium. Its description in RNAcentral is "partial 16S ribosomal RNA". It matches the Rfam family "Bacterial small subunit ribosomal RNA", at positions 30 to 507 of the family's 1533-position model. The record is from RNAcentral.